UGGUUGGCUGUGGCUCGCUGCUGCUGCUGUAGCUGGCGGCGGCGUGGAGUGGAGUACGGCCGUUACAAUAACAAACUCUAAUUGAAACACCCACAAAAACAAACUUACAAUUUACAUUUUACGUCACACUUCUUCAAUGGCAGUGGCAGGUAGUUGUUGUUAUUAUUGUUUUUGGCAAUUACAAACGAUAACACGAAUCAUAAACAAAAAAAAA
Molecule: long non-coding RNA, 214 nt
Organism: Drosophila innubila
Lineage: Eukaryota; Metazoa; Arthropoda; Insecta; Diptera; Drosophilidae
Exons: 2
Source: RefSeq, a predicted model, not a curated record